UCCCACAUCCAAAACAAUUUUUGGAUGAUUUUUAUGUCAUAUGGGAUGCCCCUUAUAUAAGGAAUGAAGGGGUGCCACAUAAAUCCCAAGGGGUACCAACUCUUGGCAUCCCUUAUUCAUUACACGCACCAUAUUAAUUUUUUGCAUGUAAUCCCAUAGGUUAAGACAUGGAAUAGGAAGAGAUUAAUAAGUAGAAAGAUUCCUCCUUUGCAUAGAAAAAUUUGGAAACCAUCUUAUGGUGCAUGGAAAAAGAAUUAGCGUGAGAUACCAAGAGUCCUUAACAAUUAAAACUCUUCCACAAACUCAAUGCAUAUAAGGGAGAAUCUAAUUUAUUUUGGCAUUCAAACUCCUUGCC
This 355-nucleotide long non-coding RNA is filed under the name Elaeis guineensis (African oil palm). Its description in RNAcentral is "long non-coding RNA (EGUI_LNC065052)". Lineage: Eukaryota; Viridiplantae; Streptophyta; Magnoliopsida; Arecales; Arecaceae. The record is from RNAcentral.